This 627-nucleotide small RNA is filed under the name Histoplasma ohiense. RNAcentral describes it as "hypothetical lncRNA". Lineage: Eukaryota; Fungi; Ascomycota; Eurotiomycetes; Onygenales; Ajellomycetaceae. The record is from RNAcentral.
CCGACGUCGAUGAGGAGAAGCUCUUGGAAUCACUGCAAUCAGGCUCAUCUACGUCUAUGAGUUUUUCACCUUUAUUUUCAAUGCGUUUUCUUAUGCUUGAAGUUGUCUUCAGAGGAGUCCUUGGCCAACUACCGAGAACAAUGGACUGAGUAAUCGGAGGCGCGGAAGGGCUGGAAAUAGUUCCUUCUCCCAGCAACUCCGCAGCCAGCCUGAUCAGAACCUUUGCUGUGAGCAAGCUAUCGUAACCCGCUUCGUGGAGCGGCUUUUCGUCAACAUAUUUAUCAUAUUCUGGAUCGAGAACUAAAUUGCACUCGGUUAGAAUAUGCAAUUCUCCAUAUGGGCUGUGUUAAAAAACGUACGUAUUCUUGGAGUCCUCCUCUGCGCCAGUUUGUCGUGAAUUUCUGUCAGGGACGAUGAGGGUGUCAUUGAUGAACAAUUGUGCGUUGCCAUAUAUUUCGUGUCAAUAACUAGGGGAAAUAAAGCAUGGAUAGCGUUCUUGAAAUCUUCGACGCGAUCCGGAAGGUCCCCAAUGAAGCAUUUGUAAAAGUUAAUGAGCUAUGAAAGCCCCUUGGGUCCAUUGCAGAGAGGUCACCUCCAACCAUGCCCUCAACAACCCAUCGAAACCCC